CAAAUGGCUUGGUUUAUACCAUCUUGCGAGACUGAACGAGAUUUUGGUUUUAGGUUGGAUGAGCCAUUAGCUA
This 73-nucleotide microRNA precursor is filed under the name Arachis hypogaea (peanut). RNAcentral describes it as "miR3510 stem-loop (ahy-MIR3510)". The record is from miRBase by way of RNAcentral. Lineage: Eukaryota; Viridiplantae; Streptophyta; Magnoliopsida; Fabales; Fabaceae.